This 405-nucleotide ribosomal RNA is filed under the name uncultured Lachnospiraceae bacterium. RNAcentral's name for it is "partial 16S ribosomal RNA". It matches the Rfam family "Bacterial small subunit ribosomal RNA", at positions 355 to 774 of the family's 1533-position model. The record is from RNAcentral. Lineage: Bacteria; Bacillati; Bacillota; Clostridia; Lachnospirales; Lachnospiraceae.
UGGGGAAUAUUGCACAAUGGGGGAAACCCUGAUGCAGCAACGCCGCGUGAAGGAUGAAGGCCCUCGGGUCGUAAACUUCUAUCGAUGGGGACGAACAAAAUGACGGUACCCAAGUAAGAAGCCCCGGCUAACUACGUGCCAGCAGCCGCGGUAAUACGUAGGGGGCAAGCGUUAUCCGGAUUUACUGGGCGUAAAGGGUGAGUAGGCGGUUUUAUAAGUCAUAUGUGAAAGCCCGGGGCUUAACCCCGGGACUGCAUAAGAAACUAUAAAACUCGAGUGCAGGAGAGGUAAGCGGAAUUCCUAGUGUAGCGGUGAAAUGCGUAGAUAUUAGGAAGAACACCGGUGGCGAAGGCGGCUUACUGGACUGUAACUGACGCUGAGUCACGAAAGCGUGGGGAGCGAACA